Molecule: ribosomal RNA, 405 nt
Filed under: uncultured bacterium
Lineage: Bacteria
Description: partial 16S ribosomal RNA
Rfam family: Bacterial small subunit ribosomal RNA
Source: RNAcentral
GACGAACGCUGGCGGCGUGCUUAACACAUGCAAGUCGAGCGGAGCGGCGUACGGGUGAGUAACGCGUGAGUAACUGCCCCCCUCUCUGGGAUAACAGUUGGAAACGGCUGCUAAUACCGGAUAGUGGGGGAUGACUCGCGUCCUAUCCGCUUGUUGGUGGGGUAGGGGCCUACCAAGGCGACGACAGGUAGCCGGCCUGGGAGGGGGACCGGCCACAUUGGGCUGGGGUACGGCCCAAACGCCUACGGGAGGCAGCAGGGGGAAAUAUGGCGCAAUGGGGGAAAGCCUGAUGCAGCAACGCCGCGUGCGGGAUGACGGCCUUCGGGUUGUAAACCGCUUUCAGCCAUGACGCGGUAGUGGCAGAAGAAGCACCGGCUAACUACGUGCCAGCAGCCGCGGUAAUAC